AGCAGCCGCGGUAAUUCCAGCUCCAAUAGCGUAUAUUAAAGUUGUUGCAGUUAAAAAGCUCGUAGUUGAAUUUCGGGAUUGACACAUCGGUCGUGCCUUAAGGGGUAUGAACUGGUGUAGUCAAUUUCUCACCUUCUGGAGAACCGCGAUGCCCUUAAUUGGGUGUCGCGGGGAACCAGGACCUUUACUUUGAAAAAUUAGAGUGUUUAAAGCAGGCAUUUUGCUUGAAUACAUUAGCAUGGAAUAAUAAAAUAGGACGGCAUGAUUCUAUUUUGUUGGUUUCUAGGAUCACCGUAAUGAUUAAUAGGGAUAGUUGGGGGCAUUAGUAUUCAAUUGUCAGAGGUGAAAUUCUUGGAUUUAUUGAAGACUAACUACUGCGAAAGCAUUUGCCAAGGAUGUUUUCAUUAAUCAAGAACGAAAGUUAGGGGAUCGAAGACGAUCAGAUACCGU
Molecule: ribosomal RNA, 450 nt
Filed under: uncultured Glomeromycotina
Lineage: Eukaryota; Fungi; Glomeromycota
Also listed under: 1 other name
Description: SSU rRNA
Rfam family: Eukaryotic small subunit ribosomal RNA
Source: RNAcentral